GAUGAAGAACGUAGCGAAAUGCGAUAAGUAGUGUGAAUUGCAGAAUUCAGUGAAUCAUCGAAUCUUUGAACGCACAUUGCGCCCCUUGGUAUUCCAUGGGGCAUGCCUGUUCGAGCGUCAUUUGUACCUUCAAGCUUUGCUUGGUGUUGGGUGUUUGUCUCGCCUUUGCGUGUAGACUCGCCUUAAAAUAAUUGGCAGCCGGCGUAUUGAUUUCGGAGCGCAGUACAUCUCGCGCUUUGNNNUCAUAACGACAGCGUCCAAAAGUACAUUUUACACUCUUGACCUCGGAUCAGGUAGGGAUACCCGCUGAACUUAAGCAUAUCAAUAAGCGGAGGA
RNAcentral lists this unclassified non-coding RNA (336 nucleotides) under soil metagenome. Its description in RNAcentral is "partial contains 5.8S ribosomal RNA, internal transcribed spacer 2, and large subunit ribosomal RNA". The stretch from base 1 to 120 matches the Rfam family "5.8S ribosomal RNA", at positions 35 to 154 of the family's 154-position model. The record is from RNAcentral.